RNAcentral lists this ribosomal RNA (376 nucleotides) under uncultured bacterium. Its description in RNAcentral is "bacterial SSU rRNA". It matches the Rfam family "Bacterial small subunit ribosomal RNA", at positions 28 to 402 of the family's 1533-position model. The record is from RNAcentral.
GACGAACGCUGGCGGCGUGCUUAACACAUGCAAGUCGAGCGGUAAGGCCCUUUCGGGGGUACGACGAGCGGCGAACGGGUGAGUAACACGUGGGUGACCUGCCCUCAGCUCUGGGAUAAGCCUGGGAAACUGGGUCUAAUACCGGAUAUGACUCCAUGACGCAUGUUGGUGGGGUGGAAAGCCUUGUGCGGCUGAGGAUGGGCCCGCGGCCUAUCAGCUUGUUGGGUGGGGUGAUGGCCUACCAAGGCGACGACGGUAGCCGGCCUGAGAGGGCGACCGGCCACACUGGGACUGAGACACGGCCCAGACUCCUACGGGAGGCAGCAGGUGGGGAAUCUUGCGCAAUGGGCGAAAGCCUGACGCAGCGACGCCGCGU